UGGGGAAUUGUUCGCAAUGGGCGCAAGCCUGACGACGCAACGCCGCGUGGAGGACGAAGAUCUUCGGGUCGUAAACUCCUGUCGAGCGGGAAGAACACCCAUCCAAUGAAUAAUUGGGAGGGCUGACGGUACCGCGAAAGGAAGCCCCGGCUAACUCCGUGCCAGCAGCCGCGGUAAUACGGGGGGGGCAAGCGUUGUUCGGAAUUACUGGGCGUAAAGGGCUCGUAGGCGGCCAACUAAGUCGGAUGUGAAAUCCCCAGGCUCAACCUGGGAACUGCAUCCGAUACUGGAUGGCUUGAAUUCGGGAGAGGGAUGCAGAAUUCCAGGUGUAGCGGUGAAAUGCGUAGAUAUCUGGAGGAAUACCGGUGGCGAAGGCGGCAUCCUGGACCGACAUUGACGCUGAGGAGCGAAAGCUAGGGGAGCAAAC
Molecule: ribosomal RNA, 427 nt
Filed under: uncultured bacterium
Lineage: Bacteria
Description: bacterial SSU rRNA
Rfam family: Bacterial small subunit ribosomal RNA
Source: RNAcentral